UACGUAGGGGGCAAGCGUUGUCCGGAAUCAUUGGGCGUAAAGAGCGCGUAGGCGGUCCGGUAAGUCCGCUCUGAAAGUCCGGGGCUCAACCCCGGGAGGCGGGCGGAUACUGUCGGGCUAGAGUCCGGAAGAGGCGAGUGGAAUUCCUGGUGUAGCGGUGAAAUGCGCAGAUAUCAGGAGGAACACCGAUGGCGAAGGCAGGUUCUUGGACAGAAGGUGACGCUGAGGCGCGAAAGUGUGGGGAGCAAACCGG
Molecule: ribosomal RNA, 253 nt
Filed under: uncultured bacterium
Lineage: Bacteria
Description: partial 16S ribosomal RNA
Rfam family: Bacterial small subunit ribosomal RNA
Source: RNAcentral